AACGAACGCUGGCGGCAUGCCCAACACAUGCAAGUCGAACGAGACCUUCGGGUCUAGUGGCGCACGGGUGCGUAACGCGUGGGAACCUGCCCUUAGGUUCGGAAUAACUCCCCGAAAGGGGUGCUAAUACCGGAUAAUGUCUUCGGACCAAAGAUUUAUCGCCUUUGGAUGGGCCCGCGUUGGAUUAGCUAGUUGGUAGGGUAAAAGUCUACCAAGGCGACGAUCCAUAGCUGGUCUGAGAGGAUGAUCAGCCACACUGGGACUGAGACACGGCCCAGACUCCUACGGGAGGCAGCAGUGGGGAAUAUUGGACAAUGGGCGAAAGCCUGAUCCAGCAAUGCCGCGUGAGUGAUGAAGGCCUUAGGGUUGUAAAGCUCUUUUACCCGGGAUGAUAAUGACAGUACCGGGAGAAUAAGCUCCGGCUAACUCCGUG
This 433-nucleotide ribosomal RNA is filed under the name uncultured bacterium. RNAcentral's name for it is "partial 16S ribosomal RNA". It matches the Rfam family "Bacterial small subunit ribosomal RNA", at positions 29 to 507 of the family's 1533-position model. The record is from RNAcentral.